RNAcentral lists this ribosomal RNA (374 nucleotides) under uncultured organism. RNAcentral describes it as "bacterial SSU rRNA". It matches the Rfam family "Bacterial small subunit ribosomal RNA", at positions 526 to 896 of the family's 1533-position model. The record is from RNAcentral.
CGUAGGUGGCAAGCGUUGUCCGGAAUUAUUGGGCGUAAAGGGCGUGUAGGUGGAUUCUUAAGUCGUGUGUCUAAGUGCGGGGGCUCAACCCCCGUAUAGGCGCAGGAAACUGGGAAUCUUGAGUGCAGGAGAGGAAAGUGGAAUUCCCAGUGUAGCGGUGAAAUGCGUAGAUAUUGGGAGGAACACCAGUGGCGAAGGCGACUUUCUGGACUGUGUCUGACACUGAGGCGCGAAAGCUAGGGGAGCGAACGGGAUUAGAUACCCCGGUAGUCCUAGCCGUAAACGAUGGGUACUAGGUGUAGAGGGUAUCGACCCCUUCUGUGCCGGAGUUAACGCAAUAAGUACCCCGCCUGGGGAGUACGGCCGCAAGGUUG